This 97-nucleotide signal recognition particle RNA is filed under the name Thalassolituus marinus. RNAcentral's name for it is "signal recognition particle sRNA small type". It matches the Rfam family "Bacterial small signal recognition particle RNA". Rfam says of the family: The signal recognition particle (SRP) is a universally conserved ribonucleoprotein involved in the co-translational targeting of proteins to membranes. Archaeal SRP consists of a 7S RNA and homologues of the eukaryotic SRP19 and SRP54 proteins. In most bacteria, the SRP consists of a 4.5S RNA and the Ffh protein (a homologue of the eukaryotic SRP54 protein). The record is from RNAcentral. Lineage: Bacteria; Pseudomonadati; Pseudomonadota; Gammaproteobacteria; Oceanospirillales; Oceanospirillaceae.
UGUUGGUCCCCUCGCAACGAUAAACCGCGAACCCCGCCAGGCCCGGAAGGGAGCAACGGUAGUGGUCGACUCGUGUGCCGGGGUGUGGCUGGCAGAG